RNAcentral lists this ribosomal RNA (1307 nucleotides) under metagenome. RNAcentral describes it as "bacterial SSU rRNA". It matches the Rfam family "Bacterial small subunit ribosomal RNA", at positions 194 to 1498 of the family's 1533-position model. The record is from RNAcentral.
GGGGACCGCAAGGCCUGGCGCUAAUAGAUGAGCCCAAAUCGGAUUAGCUAGUUGGUGAGGUAACGGCUCACCAAGGCGACGAUCCGUAGCUGGUCUGAGAGGACGACCAGCCACACCGGAACUGAGACACGGUCCGGACUCCUACGGGAGGCAGCAGUGGGGAAUAUUGGACAAUGGGCGAAAGCCUGAUCCAGCGACGCCGCGUGGGUGAAGAAGGCCUGCGGGUUGUAAAGCCCUUUCGGUGGGGAUAAAAAGCCUUGGUUUAACACACCAGGGUCUUGAUCUAACCCAAGAAAGAAGCACCGGCUAACUCUGUGCCAGCAGCCGCGGUAAUACAGAGGGUGCGAGCGUUAAUCGGAAUUACUGGGCGUAAAGCGCACGUAGGUGGCUUGGCAAGUCGGUUGUGAAAUCCCCGGGCUUAACCUGGGAACUGCAUCCGAGACUGCUUUGCUAGAGUAUGGGAGAGGGAAGUGGAAUUUCCGGUGUAGCGGUGAAAUGCGUAGAUAUCGGAAGGAACAUCAGUGGCGAAGGCGACUUCCUGGACCAAUACUGACACUCAAGUGCGAAAGCGUGGGGAGCAAACAGGAUUAGAUACCCUGGUAGUCCACGCCAUAAACGAUGAGAACUGGAUGUCGGGAGGGUCUGCCCCUCGGUGUCGUAGCUAACGCGUUAAGUUCUCCGCCUGGGGAGUACGGCCGCAAGGUUGAAACUCAAAUGAAUUGACGGGGACCCGCACAAGCGGUGGAGCAUGUGGUUUAAUUCGAUGCAACGCGAAGAACCUUACCUGGUCUUGACAUCCUAGGAAUCCCGCAGAGAUGUGGGAGUGCCUUCGGGAACCUGGAGACAGGUGCUGCAUGGCUGUCGUCAGCUCGUGUCGCGAGAUGUUGGGUUAAGUCCCGCAACGAGCGCAACCCUUGCCCUUAGUUGCCAGCAUUUAGUUGGGAACUCUAAGGGGACCGCCGGUGACAAACCGGAGGAAGGUGGGGAUGACGUCAAGUCAUCAUGGCCCUUAUGACCAGGGCUACACACGUGCUACAAUGGUCGGUACAGAGGGUUGCCAAGCCGCGAGGUGGAGCCAAUCCCAGAAAGCCGAUCGUAGUCCGGAUCGCAGUCUGCAACUCGACUGCGUGAAGUCGGAAUCGCUAGUAAUCGCGAAUCAGCGAUGUCGCGGUGAAUACGUUCCCGGGUCUUGUACACACCGCCCGUCACACCAUGGGAGUUGAUUGCACCAGAAGUAGGUAGCCUAACCGCAAGGAGGGCGCUUACCACGGUGUGGUCAAUGACUGGGGUGAAGUCGUAACAAGGUA